Molecule: non-coding RNA, 357 nt
Organism: Chrysemys picta bellii (western painted turtle)
Lineage: Eukaryota; Metazoa; Chordata; Testudines; Emydidae
Source: RefSeq, a predicted model, not a curated record
UGAAAUUGCGCAUGCUCCGUGCGAGUCCACGUGGGGGCGGGAGAACAAAGCUGCUGCCUCCGUGUAAACCGGGGCUCCGAGCUGAGCAGGUGCUGCUCCCCCGGGUGCGUGCGGGGGGAGCCCGGCAUUAACUCCUCCAUGCCCGGCCGCGGGGGCUUUCUCUAGCUGGGACCCGUCCCCUGGGCAGCCCCGGGCCGGAGACCCCCGGCUGCAGAAUGAUGUCCAUGUUUCACUCCAGUUCAUCCCAGCCUCCCAUGGGACAGGGGAGAGAAAUGGCUGCAGAGGGGUCAGUCCAGGGGCCGGUAACCUUCGAGGAGGUGGCUGUGUAUUUCACCAGGGAAGAAUGGGCUCUGCUGG